RNAcentral lists this ribosomal RNA (640 nucleotides) under uncultured bacterium. RNAcentral's name for it is "bacterial SSU rRNA". It matches the Rfam family "Bacterial small subunit ribosomal RNA", at positions 262 to 916 of the family's 1533-position model. The record is from RNAcentral.
GGCCCACCAAGGCGUCGACGGGUAGCUGGUCUGAGAGGAUGAUCAGCCACACUGGGACUGAGACACGGCCCAGACUCCUACGGGAGGCAGCAGUGGGGAAUCUUGCGCAAUGGGCGAAAGCCUGACGCAGCAACGCCGCGUGCAGGAUGAAGGCCUUCGGGCUGUAAACCGCUUUCAGCAGGAACGAAAAUGACGGUACCUGCAGAAGAAGGAGCGGCCAACUACGUGCCAGCAGCCGCGGUGACACGUAGGCUCCAAGCGUUGUCCGGAUUUAUUGGGCGUAAAGAGCUCGUAGGCGGUUUAGUAAGUCGGGUGUGAAAACUCUGGGCUUAACCCAGAGACGCCAUCCGAUACUGCUGUGACUUGAGUUCAGGAGGAGAGCGGGGAAUUCCUAGUGUAGCGGUGAAAUGCGCAGAUAUUAGGAGGAACACCGGUGGCGAAGGCGCCGCUCUGGACUGAAACUGACGCUGAGGAGCGAAAGCAUGGGUAGCAAACAGGAUUAGAUACCCUGGUAGUCCAUGCCGUAAACGGUGGGCACUAGGUGUGGGUUUCAACUAACGAAAUCCGCGCCGUCGCUAACGCAUUAAGUGCCCCGCCUGGGGAGUACGGUCGCAAGACUAAAACUCAAAGGAAUUGACGG